This 862-nucleotide ribosomal RNA is filed under the name Peniophora gilbertsonii. RNAcentral describes it as "LSU rRNA". It matches the Rfam family "Eukaryotic large subunit ribosomal RNA", at positions 35 to 926 of the family's 3401-position model. Lineage: Eukaryota; Fungi; Basidiomycota; Agaricomycetes; Russulales; Peniophoraceae. The record is from RNAcentral.
UAAGCAUAUCAAUAAGCGGAGGAAAAGAAACUAACAAGGAUUCCCCUAGUAACUGCGAGUGAAGCGGGAUGAGCUCAAAUUUAAAAUCUGGCGUCUUCGGCGUCCGAGUUGUAAUUUAGAGAAGCGUUUUCCGCGCCGGACCGUGUACAAGUCUCCUGGAACGGAGCGUCAUAGAGGGUGAGAAUCCCGUCUUUGACACGGACCCCCGGUGCUCUGUGAUACGCUCUCGAAGAGUCGAGUUGUUUGGGAAUGCAGCUCAAAAUGGGUGGUGAACUCCAUCUAAAGCUAAAUAUUGGCGAGAGACCGAUAGCGAACAAGUACCGUGAGGGAAAGAUGAAAAGCACUUUGGAAAGAGAGUGAAACAGUACGUGAAAUUGUUGAAAGGGAAACGCUUGAAGUCAGUCGCGUCCGCCGGAACUCAGCCGCAAGGUGUACUUUCCGGUGGACGGGCCAGCAUCACUUUCGAUCAUCGGAAAAAGGCAGAGGGAAUGUGGCACCUCCGGGUGUGUUAUAGCCCUUUGUCGUAUACGGUGACUGGGAGUGAGGACCGCCUUUUGUAGGAUGCUGGCGUAAUGGCUUUAAACGACCCGUCUUGAAACACGGACCAAGGAGUCUAACAUGCCCGCGAGUGUUCGGGUGGAAAACCCGUGCGCGUAAUGAAAGUGAAAGUUGGGAAGGCUGUCGCGGCCUGCACCGACGCCCGGACUUGAGAUUUAUCGAAGGUUCUGCGGUAGAGCGUGUAUGUUGGGACCCGAAAGAUGGUGAACUAUGCCUGAAUAGGGUGAAGCCAGAGGAAACUCUGGUGGAGGCUCGUAGCGAUUCUGACGUGCAAAUCGAUCGUCAAAUUUGGGUAUAGGGGCGA